GCGUGAUGGCGGACGGGUGAGUAAUGCCUAGGAAUCUGCCUGUUAGUGGGGCGUAGUAGUGGGAAACUCGCGCUAAUACCGCACGUAGUGCGGGAGAAAGUGCCGUAGACCUUCGGGCCUCACGCUAACAGAUGAGCCUAGGUCGGAUUAGCUGGUUGGUGGGGUAACCAGUGAAAUAGGCGACGAUCCGUAACUGGUCUGAGAGGAUGAUCAGUCACCCGUAGACUGAGACACGGUCCAGACUCCUACGGGAGGCAGCAGUGGGGAAUAUUGGACAAUGGGCGACGUACCUGAUCCAGCCAUGCCGCGUGUGUGAAGACCGAUAGGGAUUGUAAAGCACUUUAAGUCGGGAGGAAGGGCUGUAGCCAUGCAGUCUUGACGUUACCGACCCGAUGAGAAUAAGCAUUAUGCUAACUUCGUGCCAGCAGCCGCGGCCUUGCGAAGGGUGCAAGCGUCCGUAGUAAUUACUGGGCGUAAAGCGCGCGUAGGUGGUUUGGUAAGUUGGAUGUGAAAGCCCCGCCUUGAACCUGGGAACUGCAUCCAAAUGCAGCUGGCUAGAGUACGGUAGAGGGUGGUGGAAUUUCCUGCCAGUGAGUGAAAUGCGUAGAUAUACCAGGGAACACCAGUGGCGAAGGCGACCACCUGGCAAUGAAACUGACACUGAAUGAGGUGCGAAAGCGUGGGGCGGAUGAUAGAUACCCUGGUAGUCCACGCCGUAAACGAUGUCGACUAGCCGGGUAGAUCCUUGAGAGCUUAGUCCAGCAGCUAACGCAUUAAGUCGACCGCCCGUGAUGGACGGCCGCAAGGUUAAAACUCAAAUGAAUUGACGGGGGCCCGCACAAGCGGUGGAGCAUGUGGUUUCGUAGAACUACGCGAAGAACCUUACCUGGCCUCUUGAUGACCUGCGAACUGGGUAGAGACCGGGGUGCCUUCGGGAGCGCAGAGACAGGUGCUGCAUGGCUGUCCGUGAUGUC
RNAcentral lists this ribosomal RNA (974 nucleotides) under Azotobacter salinestris. RNAcentral's name for it is "bacterial SSU rRNA". It matches the Rfam family "Bacterial small subunit ribosomal RNA", at positions 90 to 1061 of the family's 1533-position model. The record is from RNAcentral. Lineage: Bacteria; Pseudomonadati; Pseudomonadota; Gammaproteobacteria; Pseudomonadales; Pseudomonadaceae.